CGAGCGCACUCUUUUAGAGUGAGCGGCAAACGGGUGAGUAACGCGUGGGAAUCUACCCAUCUCUACGGAAUAACACAGAGAAAUUUGUGCUAAUACCGUAUACGUCCUAUUUGGAGAAAGAUUUAUCGGAGAUGGAUGAGCCCGCGUUGGAUUAGCUAGUUGGUGAGGUAACGGCUCACCAAGGCGACGAUCCAUAGCUGGUCUGAGAGGAUGAUCAGCCACACUGGGACUGAGACACGGCCCAGACUCCUACGGGAGGCAGCAGUGGGGAAUAUUGGACAAUGGGGGCAACCCUGAUCCAGCCAUGCCGCGUGAGUGAUGAAGGCCCUAGGGUUGUAAAGCUCUUUCACCGGUGAAGAUAAUGACGGUAACCGGAGAAGAAGCCCCGGCUAACUUCGUGCCA
Molecule: ribosomal RNA, 403 nt
Filed under: Bartonella henselae
Lineage: Bacteria; Pseudomonadati; Pseudomonadota; Alphaproteobacteria; Hyphomicrobiales; Bartonellaceae
Description: bacterial SSU rRNA
Rfam family: Bacterial small subunit ribosomal RNA
Source: RNAcentral